Pollicipes pollicipes is the source of this 390-nucleotide long non-coding RNA. RefSeq lists it as uncharacterized. The transcript has 3 exons. NCBI's taxonomy places the organism in Eukaryota, Metazoa, Arthropoda, Thecostraca, Pollicipedomorpha, Pollicipedidae. The record is from RefSeq and is a predicted model, not a curated record.
UGGCUAUCGCAACCAUGCGUGGUUUUACAUCAUGGUAUAGUGCAACGAAUCGAUUAUUUGCGAAAUGCGCGUCAUUACGGCGCUCUUCCUUUUGUGGAUGAGCAAGGAUGGAUGCUUCGACUUUGCACCCAACGUGUUCCCAAAAGUAUCCAAAGGACUCGGUGACAGUUUUUAUCAAGACUCAUGGAAACCACCAACACCCUGGUUCAAUUUCGAAAAUUUCACCAGACGACGAAGAGAGGUGGAGGCCAAGUCAGUCAGACAAAGGAACUUAAAUCGCCGCAUCGCUGGAAGACUUAAUAGACGUGACACGGUCAUCGACACUGAGGACGACCUGACCGUGGCGUCGGCAGCAGUGGGUCCCGUGUCCUCCGGCAACCUCAAACCGGU